CACCAUCCCAGCACUCUGGGAGGCUGAGGCAGGAGGGUCACCUCAGGGUGAUAAUGAGUUUGAGGCCGGUCUGUACUAAAGACCCUGUCUCACAUAAAGGUGAACUAAAUCCAACCCUCAAGCUCCAGUAGCGUGCAGAGCGUCUCUCUCAGGAGAAACGCAAAGUAAAACUGAAGAGCAAAAUAAAAGGCCUGAUAGGAAGCAGGGAGGGAACCAGGAGAUGGGGGGGGACUAUCGAGGUGCAUGCACAACCCCACCCUGCCAUGCACUGCCGGAACCCAUCUCCUCAUAGUUCCAUUUUGCAGAUGAGCAAACUGAGUGCUGAGGGCAGCACCCCACAUAAACCGUCAUCGUGCAUGUGAGGGUGACAGGGCCCCAAGCUGGAGCUCUCUGCCUCUAGAGAGCAUUUCCAGAUUCUUCUCUUUCUUUCCAGUUUUUAAUUUUUUUUUUCUUGAGGAUGUCACUGUGUAGCCCAGGCUGGUCUUGAACCCUUGGCAAUCCUCCCGCCUUGGCCUCCUGAGUGCUGGGAUGACAGGGUGCCCCUCCGGGGCGGCUCUCUGGGCUGUCUUUUCUUGUCAUGGACUGCUCCUUACACCCCUGCUCAGUGACUUGGGAAAUAGCCUGGCUUCCCCACCCCAGGAACUGGGCAGAGGGUGGGAGGCAUGUAUUCUGCAGGAGGAGUCCUGGGUGAGAGAAAAACAUGGAGCGUGGGGGAGAGGCAGAAAGCAAAUCAGACCAGGUCACUGGGGCAGGAAACAGCUGUCAGCAGGAAAGGGCCCAGCUUCCGGGCAGCUGUGUGCUAACCGGUGAUCCACAGCCCGGCCAGCUCCGGCUCUCAGGAACAGGACCAGGCAGUGGGAUUCUCUGCAGGGGCUGCAGACACAGGUGGGGUGAGGGUGGCGCAGGCCAGUCACCCCAGCCCUUGAGAAGCUGAGGCAGGAGGAUCACUCCCAGUCCAAGGCCAGCCUCAGCUACCUAGCAAGACCCUGUCUCAAAAAUGGCAUAAACCAAGAGCUACAAAUGCAUUUCCGACUUGCCCAGGCUCAUGUGAAAUUAAUCUUUCUCAGCGCAGCUCAGUCACACACAGUGUCCGCCCGGAAGCGGUGGGACUGCAGCGCUCUGAGUUCCUGGCCUCGGAUGCUGUGCGCUCUUCAGUCCGCAGGUUAGGGAUUGUUCUCGGCUCAGUGUGCUUGAAGUCUGGACCCAGAAAUGUCACCAGGUGGGACCCCAGUCAAGCUCUGGGUCACUCAGACACCAACUUCUUUUUCCAUUCAUUUGCAGGGAACAGACAAAGCCCACCCCCAGUUCAGCAUUUUCAGAAUAACCUGCUCAGGAAAGGUCCAGCUGCUGCCUCCUUUGGAGGUGGAAUUCAAGCUUCCUGAGGCCUCUCACACCCCAUCUCUGUCUCCAUUACCCCUUCCUUAGGCUCCAGGGGGACGGGUUUUUAGAUAAAGAUAAAACUUGGCACUUCCCUGAGGUAAGGACCAGCUGGGUUUUCAGCAUGGUUUUUUGGUUGGUGGUGUUGUUUUAGACCGGGUCUCCUUGUUUCGCUAUGGCUGGCCUGGAACUCACUACAGAGCCCAGGCUGGCCUCGAACAGGUGGCGAUCCUCCUGCCUCAACCUCCCUCGGUGCUGGGAAUAGAAGUGAUCAACACUGAGCCCAGCAUUCCAUUCGGCAUAAUAUUUUGCACCUAAUUUGAAAAUCAAAACACUAACAGGCAAAUUUAAGCUGAACUCCCUAUUUUUAGAACAGUACUAAAAAUUACAGAAUUUAUUUUCAGCCAUAUGGCUGCACAGAAAUGGAGGCCGUGGGCACCUGGCCAAGCCGGUGGCCACAGAAGUGGCCACCUCCCACCUCCCAGUGCCACAGAGCCACCAGCACCUCUGGGGAAUCCAGGACUAGGCAGAAGAGCAGUUGCAGGCUUAGCAUUUCUUGGCUUUUUGCUAAUUUCCUUGUAGUUCUGAUGAAUGUGGGAGCUCUCUGAGCUUGCUGGGGGAGAGGGAGUAGGGCUUUUUUUUUUCUUUUUUUAAAUUAGGAAUUGAGAAGAAAAGUCCCCUUAUGCAUUCUUCCAGGAAUCAACUUAAUUAUGCCUCUGUCAGCAGGAAGUUUAUAGGGGAGUCAAUUAAAAAAAGGAGCCAGCCUGGCCUUUAAUUAUCUCAGCUGGUAUUCAGCCUUCAAAAGUCUGCGACCUGCUGAGUGUGUUAAUUUAACCACUUCAUAGUGUCUGAAUCCGCCCUUCCACACCGGCCACCUCCCCUGGGGAAGGAACGGGCUGCAGAGAUCUCUAACCCUCCCCUCUGCUGCUUAAUACUGUGAGCUUCCAUUAUGAUGAUUAUCGUCAUUAUCAUGAUCGUUAUUAUUAUCUUGCUUUUUGAGAUAAGAGUCUCACUUGUGUAGUCCAGGCUCGCCCUAAACUUGGGAUGAUCUUCCUGCCUCAGCCUCCUGAGUGCUGGGACUUCAGGUGUGCACCACAACACCUGGCCCUCAUCCUGUUACCUGUGUGUCAGUGUCCGCGUAGGAGGGCCCUUUCGCCUUAUGCACUUGGUAAAGACUCGCGUGUGACAUGCAGUGUUAGUAGCUGCUGGCAAUGAGAACUUCGCUCCUGGGUUGGGUGCAGUUUUCCCGCUCCUCCUGGGGGCCAGUUGUGGUGAGGUGCUCCUGGAACCCCAGCACCCUGGGAGGCUGAGGCAGGACAAUUGGAAUGUUAAGCUCAACCUGGAUAACUGAGUGACUUGCUUUAGCAGUCUCAAUUUUUGCAAAAGGCGGAUCCAUGUCAGCGGCGUCCCGGGAGCCUGAGGUCUCAGAAUCCACCACUGACUUAGGGUUCAGGGUUAGUCCUGGCCUGCGGCAUGGCCUCCCUGGCCGCCGUGGCCAUGUCUGUUUCACACCUGCAGCGGUGUCGGCCCCAAAUCUGACUCCUCGCCUGCUAUAUGGAAGCAUCUGCGUCCUGCAUGGAGCGCAGUUUGUGUUAUUACCCGUUCACGGUGUGCUGUGCGCUCUGGUGCUAUUCCGCCCUCCUUCCCACCUCUCCCCACUCAGGCCAGGGACUCAGGGCUCCUCCAGGGACGCUGUUCCAGGGGCAGCCAGUGUCACUGCCCUGGCAGCCACCCUGCCACUGACCCUGGUCACUCAUAACCGGCCGGCACCUGCAUUUCGCUGGAUGCCACUGCUCUUCUGUCUAUUGUAAAUUCAGUUUUCAGGGCCAGAGAUUUUAGCUCAGUGGCACAAGCACUUGCCUGGCAAAGUGUGAGAUCUACAGAAACAAAAAUAAAUAAAUUUGGUUUUUAAUUUAGUCAUGUCUCCAACAGUAUCAUACCUAUAGUCACUGCUUUGGUAGGAAAUUACUAUUUUUUCUAACAACCAAUAAAAUAAAAUAAAUCUACUAAAAUGAGGACUGGGUCACCAUGUGUCACUGACGGUCUCUGUGGGUAUCCGAGAGUAGAAAAAUACUCUUUGACCCGGCGACCAGUCCAGCACUGUAACUCACCAGUGAUCUCUCCCUGAAAUGUAACGCAUGGGUCUCGAGUAUAAUGCAAAAUGCACUUUUUGGCCUUGGUGUGCGAGGAGUCACCCUGCACUGGGGUUCUGUAGCUUCUCGUCCGCCCUCUGGACCCCUCCUGGCUCCUCCUGGAGCUAAGCUUUCUGUUCCAGAGAAUGUGGGUGCCCCCAGCAGCUCCUUGUGCUGUUCCGGAACUUUGUUCCCAGCUGUGUCUUGGGAACAGUUAGAGCCCAGGAGGAAUCCUGUGAGAAUGCCGUACAAUAUUUCUUUCUUGGAAGAUUCCCAACACGUGUUUAUUAACUGAGUAUAAAAAUCGUGGCAUUCUAGAUUCCAUCAGAGAAGCAGAGGCAGAAAUGGUCUCAUGUUUCGUGAGAGUGAAACAUUUCUUGGUCUUCAUUGAUCUGCACAUGUUAUAAUGAAUGUGGCUUUUUGCAUUUUGUUUUGGUUUCUGCUUUUUUUUUCUAGUAGCACCAAGGAUUGAACCUGGGACUUUUGCACUGAGCUAUAUCCACAGUCCUUCAUAAAAAAAUUUUUUCAGGCAGAGCCUCCGUAAGUUGUGUCACCCAGGGUGAACUGGAAUUUGCGAUCUUCCUGCCUCAGCCUCCUAGGGUGCCUGGGUUAUACAGACAUGCGCCCCCAGCCAGCUGUGGUUUUGUGGAUUUUCUGCACGCUGUUGAAGCUGUUUCCAAAAAAGCGGGAGACUCGCUCACCCUUACCCCUCCCCAAUCGGGGGGAGCAGAGGGCGUUUGAUCCCUGACCUCCUGCCUGGGCCCCGUGCCUGCUGGAAACCGAUUUAUGCAGGGUCACCGCUUUGGAGGCUGCCCUGGAAAGACCAUGUCCAGCAAGAAGCCAGAACUCCGCGUUUUUAUAUGAAAACUACCGGUUUCUAAAUGUUGGCUCUGCUGUCUUUUUUUUUAGUUUUUAUGAUUCUUGGUGGGCCAAGUGUAACAAGUCCAUCGGCCAGCACCGGCCGCCACUGCCGGUCUCUGGCUUUGGCCUUGGACUUCAUUUCCCGGUCCGAUUUUAGAGUCUGCCCCAACUUGGUAAGAAUUUUUAAAUAACUAAUCCUGCCAUCCAUGGCCUGUGCAGGUGCUGUGCGCUGGAGUCCAAAGGGACCUGUGAGGCGAGGUCAUCUCUGCUCGGGGUGGCACUGGACCCCAGCCUCCCCUCUAGCAAGUGCAGCAGGCAGGGGCCACUCACCAGGCUCUUUGGAAGAUGGGCUGAGGUUGUGGCCCAGCAGUAGGGGACAUGCUGCCUGCACACAGGAAUGACCAUGCACACGAGGCGGGCCACAGCGUCCAGGUCUGCGACCUACAGGGGUCACUGGGGACUGGUUGUCCACUUUUAUCCGCUGUCAGCAGUGGGCAAGUGAGACAGGGAGCAAGACAGACAGAAAGACAGACGCAGAGACAGAGAAAAAGAAAAUCACCUUAAAUUAAGAUGCUCUGCAGUUCCGUUCUUAGUGCUGAUCUUUAACUUCAGAAACAUUUCAUUUCUCCUUUCCCCAAUCUGUAAUAUAUACAAAUGAACCGACUAGGUAAUUGGUUUUCAAAUUAGAUAAUUUUUUCUAAAUUAAUACAUAACCUUCUCUUUUUUUGUCUUUUUUUGAGACAGGGUCUUGCUAUGCAGUUCAGGCUGGCCUUGAGCUCACUUUGUAGCCCAGGCUGGUCUCAAACUAGCAAUGAUCCUCCCACCUCAGCCUCCCGAGUGCUGAGAUUACAGGCGUGAGCCACCACGCCCGGCUACUUAACCUUCAUAGCCACGUUGAAGUAGAAACAGUCAGGAGAAUUAGACAGGGGAAUAGAUUUAUUUUUGGUUUCGUAAUUGUUUGAGAGAGGGUCUUCCUGUGUACCCCAGGCUGGCCUGGAACUAUGGGGAUCCUCCUGACUUGGCCUCCUGAGUGCUGGGAUUACAGGUGUGUAAUCACAGGUUUGGGAGUAGUUUUGUCUUGUUCUGUGCUUUUGUGUUUUAUGUUAAGAACCGGCUGCAGGAACUUCCGAGUGCAGGUGGUUCCCACUAGGCUCAUCUUUAUUCCUGGCUCACCUGCUAGGCUGUUGUCUGAUCUGUUGGAUUGUGCCAACCUACACCCUGUCAGCUGGAGGCCUCUCCUGCAGUCCUGGCGGCUGGCAGGCUUAGGUGAGGGCUGAGGCGGGUUCUGGGUCUAGCGAGCCCACACUUCCACUCCGAUGAUGCCAUCUUGCUAUGUUCCCCAUGGUAGAUGGGCCAGUGUAUAUAGCAAUGUAGUCUUUGGAAAGUAUUUCUGUGAUUACUUAUGGAACUGGGGUUUGACCGUAGGACCUCACGAUGAGCCACAACCUCCUCCCUUACUGAUUUUUUUUUUCCUCAGAGAAAAGGAUUAUCUAGGGUGAAUUUGAAUUUGUGACCCUCCUGCCUCAGCCUCCUAGAGUGCUGGAUUACAGGUGUGCACCACCACACCUGGUUGGAAACUUCCACCUUCAGUGGCGUGUGAUGAUUCCCCAACUGGCAUGCUAUCACUUACUUGUGUCUUUGUUUUAAGAAUUGUUUUCCUCAUUUUUAAUUUUUUAGUAAAUAAUUUUGCAGUGAUUCCCCCAGGCACCUGCUUUGGUUUAUUUCCUUCAGGUAAAGUGCUUCCCUGUUAGACCAUUGGGUCAAGGGGGUGAUGUUUUAUGUUUCAUUCAUCUAAGGUGGGGCUAGGAUCUGACCCAGGGCCUUGUACCUGCAAGGAAGGGCUCCUCCGGGAAGUGCAGCCUUGAACCCCACUUCCUGAAGGCCAGGCGAGGUUUCCCAGCACUGAUAACAUCCCGUCUGGCCCACAGGACACCCCUGUCUCCUGCCAGUGCUGGUACCUCCCUCGGGGGUGCUUGGUAAAGGUGGGGAUGGCGGAUUAGAGUCGCUCUGCUUCCAGAGAAGUCUCGAGGAGCCUCUGGGCAAACGCUGGCUGGGAGGCGAAGCAACGGGGAAGGAGCCCAGAGGCCGGCCGGCUCCGUGGGAAGGAGGCUGCGGUGCGGCGAGGGGAGCUGUUGCCCACUGAAACUGCAGCCAUGGGAGAAAAUGAGGGGGUCGGGGCUCUGAGAAGACGCAGGGGAGACUCCAGCUCUGGAGGGGGGGAGCCCUCCAUCGGUCACCUGUGCAGCCCCUGCAGGGCACGUGGGUGCAUGUGUAUGUAUGAAUGUGCAUGUGUGCAUACAUGUUGUGUGUGCGUGUGUGCAAGUGCAUGCGCGUGCAUGUGCGUGGAGUACAUCUGUGGCUAUCAUUGUGCCGUGCGUGGUAUUCAGUGCAAAACGAAGUCACUACCUAAAGCCCGGCCCGGUCCUUCCACACAGCGUAGAAGCCCAGCGUGUCGCCUCGGCAGCCAGGGACCCGGAUGACAAGGCACCAGGCAGGAGGGGGAGGGGCAGGGAGAGCAAGGUGUCCCGUGGGCCGCAUCGGGCCCUGCUCCCGGCCAGGGCUGUGACCCACACCCAGCGCAACAGCAGGCCCUUCUACCCUCCUGAUCCCUGUGGAUCCCUGCGGUCAGCGGGCUCCAGGGAGCCGCCAUAGUGGGCAGAAGCGCUCCUGCGCGUUAGGGUUACCUUGGGCUUGAAGGGCAAAGACGCUGGGCUGGCCUCAUCCGAGCCGGUGCCUCACAGGUAUAGAAGAAUUGGGGCCAUCAAUAAACUGCCGGUGUCACGGGUGCAGGGACCACAUAGCCCAGAGAGGCCUGGUCCCUUCCCUCUGGGCCCCCGCUCUUCCCAGGACCCCAUUGGGUUCCCUCCCUCUGAACCAACUUUCUUCCACCCACGCACUGCAGCGCCCCCCUGGGUCACGCAAAAGAGUCGGUUGCCCAAGAAAGCUCGGUGGAGUAAGAGUGUCAAUCCACAGGGGAUUUAGGACCCACCGUGGUGCUCACAGUGAAAACCGAAAGAGUCCUAGCAGCAGACAUUUUGAGGAUGCUUCAAAGCCUAUCAGAAUUUCAGGAAGGGACACACUAGUCCUGGGUUCGAAUCUUGGCUCUAGGACCUGGACAGAUGUCAGCAGUGUUCACCACCCCAUGCCUCAGCCUCAGUUUAUCCAUCUGGAGGUAGAGAGCAGGAUAUCCCCUUUAUAGCAUUGCUGUCACAUGCUUCGCCUGCAGCCAUGAGCUGCUCAUGUCCUGCCUGGGGAAACUGAGGCAGCACGGACCCCAGGGGUGUUCUUCUGGGCUCAGCCUGGACUGCAGCCCCCCGGAUCUUGAGUGUCCUCCGAGCUCCCUCAUUUCCAGGUUCUUGGCUUGGGGUCCCUGGUGUCCCCCAGGGGAGAGGAUGGCAUCACUGGCACAGGCAGAGCCUGGUGGGGAUGCAGUGCCCAGGGUUGGACUCCAACCCGAGCCUGCAGACAGCUGCAUUACCCUGGAGUCCCUGCCACCCACAGGGCAGGCACCGCUGGCCCCUGGCUAACACAGGGCUCAUUUGCAUAGCAUAACAGGAAGCAACCCCAAUGCAGAGCAGCCUGGCAGGGCACAGGUGGCAGCAGGUGCCAGGUCCCCGAGCCUCGGCCAUGCCCUCAGCCUCCGUGCUGGGCUUGGGCCAGCGCCUCUGAGCUGCCUUGGCCCUGCCUGCCACUCGGGAGUCUUGGCUGUGUUUGUCACCUCCCUGGUGCUGGCAGGCAGGACAGGAAGAGGGGGUGGCUGGCAGGGACCUGUGUUGCCUGCCAGGGAGGAGACGCCUCCUCUCCCGGCAGAUGUGUGAGUCACCUCAGGAGCCGGGAACAGGCUCCAUCUGCCUUCCAGACGGGCUCUGCUGCGCUGCCCAAGCUGGUCUCAAACUCCUGGCUCCUGUUGUAGGUGGCUCAGUUACAUUGAGCUUGAUACACAGCUGAAAGGGGACCAGGCCCAAGACAGGGGAGCCUAAGCCCCAGUGCUCACAGCUCCCUCUGACUGUAUUAUUCAAAGUGAGGUCCAAAAAAGCACUGCACCCGAGAAACUGCUGGGACGAUUCCGUGUCCCAGAAACUCAGGGAGGCCCUGCCAGCCCCACAGGGGGAGAAAGCUGCUCCUUCCUGCGCACCUGCAGGCCAUACCCGCUCCAGGGAGGCCUCCAGGGGCCUCCAGGUACCUCCUGGGGAUGCGUGGGCUGUGGAUUCAGAGCUCCUGGACUCCAGCCGUGCUCACCACUCCCUCGGGAAAUGACACUACUUCCUGUGCCAAGGGGACAAUCGUCCAGGGAGCACAGGAUGGCUUGAGCCAGCGAGGCCGUGCAUCUGAAUGACCCACAGUGCCACUCUGUGCACAGGAAACUGCUCCUUAAUCUAAAGACUUGGAGGAAGGGCGGGGCCGUGGCUGCAGGCGGCUCUGCCAGGGCCAAGCAGCUGCUUCCUGCCGCUAAGAGCAGUGCCCGAGCCACAUCCCCCACGGUGCUCACCACGCCGCCCUCCCCGCCUGCCAGCCCCAGAUAGCAGCAGCUCAGGUCCAGACCGGGGCCUGCCUUUCUGAGGGGAGCGUGCUAUCCGGUUUGGCCACAUGUGGGGGUGGCCCAGAGAAGUCUGCAGAGACAGCAGGCAGGAGGGACAGGAGCCUGAAUUCCUAGAGACUCCUGGACCUGCACUUGCAAGAGGGCAAACUGCACCUGGCCCAGUCACCUGUCACGGGGCUGUCGCCUGGGCUGCUGCUGCCGAGUCCAGCUCCAGGACAGAGGUCAGACGCUGGGGUUUUCUCAGCCCUCCUGCACAUGCUAAGCUACGAAUGCAUCUGGUUUCAAAACAUAUCUGAGGCAUUACCUUGCCAUUGUGCUCUGCCCAUCAGUUUUACAUGCCUCAAACUGAGAAACUAAAAUCAGAAUCACCUGUCCUUGGCCUAGACAAGCCUGGUUGUACAUGAUAGAUAUAUUACUGAUGAAAGCUGCAAUUUUUAGCUGGGCAUGGAGACACAGACCUGUAAUCCCCAGCACUCAGGAGGCUGAGGCAGGAGGAUCACUGAGAGUUCGAGACCAGCCUGGGCUCCAGAGUGAGACCCCUAUCUGAAAAGUAAAAAUUUUAUUAAAGCUGCAAUUUGCAGAACUCAGUGAGAUAUGAUCCCUUUCACUUAAAAACCCCUAUCUGUGCAGAGGAAACCAGUUUCUAAGGGACAGGAGAAAGCACAUGGUGGUGAGAGUGAGAUCAGAGAGCUUUUAUUCACAUUCAGAUGCAAUCUGAACUUUGCAGCCUACUUCGUUCCUUAUUUGAAAACAAAGAAAGUGCACAGGCUGGCCCUGGGGUAGUCCUGGGCACAGGGUCUGCAUUGGCUCCCUGGCUGGGCUACGCUACCGCUGCCCCCUCCUGCACCCUGUCCUGUCCACUCCAAAGCUGCUGUCCAUCCGGUGGGUCACAGGUCUCGUCCCUGUGUCAGGUCACCUCUCUGCUUCCGCACUGUUCACACUCCUGGACUCAAAGGGAAUCCCAGCUGAGACCCGUCACAUCCAGGCACCAGCUCCCCGGGAUGAAUGCAGCCACCAGUGUGCUGCAAACGCAGACUCAUAAAUGUGAAAACUGAGAACAAAAACAGUGCCGCGGACGCCAUGCUCUCGUUUGUUAAGUGAAUGCUCGCCGUCCCCCCCAGUAAGCGAGCACUGAGCCAUCUUAUUUUAGUUUUGUUCUGCUUCAUUUUUGUGACAGCAUCUCUGUGGUGGUUCAGGCUAGUUUUGAACUCACUGUGUUGCCCACACUGGGCUUGGACUCAUGGUGAUCCUCCUGCCUCGGCCUCCUGAGUGCUAGGAUUGCAGGCAGUGCUUGACUAUCUUUGUUUCCCAUUAGCUCAGAUUGGGUGGAACGUACAAGACAAGCAUCAGGCCAGGAACCUCGCCAUCAACCAAAUGGCCAGGCAGUGCUGUCAAAGGAGGAUUUACAGGCUAGAGAUGACAUUAACACACCAAGUGUGUGCCCAAGGAUGAAGAUGAUGGACUGGGGCGUGACCCAGAAGGGCUGAAAACCCACAGAAGUUCUCCCACAGACAGGAUCCCCACACGACGUUGUGAAAUUCUUGAAACAGUGAACCAGAGGCCGCCAGGGCUCCAGCUUCUUUAAGCAGAGCUCUGUGGGUCCCAGCGGUCUUCAGAGUUCUGUAAUCCGUUUAAAGAAAAGCACCCAUGGUGUUGAAUUAGCACGUGGUACUUCCGAGGAAUUCACAUCACUGUUUUAGAUGAACCGGAUGGCACUGAAGUAUCUAGAACACACUGGAUGACAGAGUACGGAUCGCUUCUCACCCCCAUAAUUUAAACUGUGCUUGUUUGCUGAUAAGGUGGGAGCUUUCAGGACUUCCUGUCCCCUUCCUUGAAUUCCCUCAGUCUUUUAAAAAAUUGGUUAAUGGGCCAGUUUGCUUUUAGAGGGAGGACUCUAGUCAGUGUAAAUAGAAAAUGAGUUAGAAGCUCAGCAUUAAUCCCAGCACUCAGGAGGCUGAGGCAAGAGGAUCGUUGGGAGCUGAAUUGCAUAGAGACCCUGUCUCCAAAAAUCAGAAAGAAAGACAUCACCUUCACUGCAAGUGUGGUUCUUUUUGUUUGUUUGUUCUUGCUUUUGUUUUUGGUGGGUGCUGGGAAUCGAACUCAGGACCUCACACUUGCCAGGCAGGUGCUAUAUCCUGGCCCCAGGCUGGUUCUAGCUUAAACCCUGAAAGAAUCAGAGUCACGGGGCUGCCGGGUUUCUGACAUGGGCCUGGCUGGGGGCUCAGCACCUGUGGCUCUCAGAGGCCCUGCUGCCCUUGUGUCGUGCUUGGAAUGUGGUCUUGGCACAAAGCACGAACUUCUGCGAGCUCUGCACAAGGAAGGAGGUGAAAUCUAGGGAUCACCACCGUACGUGCUGCACCCCACACACACGUUUCCCAGGCCAGAACCCUGCACACUCGCGUGCCGCACGCAUGGGGUCCCCGUGGGCACCCGUCCCCAUGAUCACACUGGGUUUCCAGGGCAGCCGUUUUAUCGCAGGCCCCCUGUGCUGUCUGCCGUGUUUAUUGUAGGCUUCCAUUUCUCUGUCCAGCCGCAUGGCACCUGCCUGGCAAAGUGCGAGGUCAUGAGUUCAAUUCCCUGUACCAAAAAAAAGAGAGGCGGCUAGCUCAAGACCCAAAGCUCAUCUCCGUUUCAGACAGGUUGUGACGUGGUGGUGACAUACCUCCCCACGAGGCUCCUAAGCCAGUGCCAGCCUGGGCACAGGGAGGGAGAGGCAGUGGACGUGCAGCCCCUUUGUGUCUGCCCCUGGGUGUGGUCCAUGUCUGAGCCAGCUCCAAGCAGCCCUGUGUUGCACUGUGCCUGGAGAGGACAGUGCCUUUGCAAGCCCAACUCUGUGCUGACUGUAAACGCCAGACCCAGCCCAGCCAGGCCAUGCUGGACUUCUCUCCCUCCCUCCCUCCUGGGCCUGCUGGCCUCAGCUGGAAUCAUGCUGGGUACAGAGUGUGCCAGCUCAGGGCAGCAUAGCCUGGGACCCUGGUGCCACACACGUGGCCGUCGAGUGCUCAGACAGUUGUUCCCAGGGUCAGUUCGGCCCAGGGCUCUAACCCAGAGCACAGGAGCAGCAGGAAUCCCGUCCAGUGGCCCAGAGCUCUCCCCGGAACCAACCGAGCAGGUGGGCUUGGUUGGACCAGUGGCCAGUGUCCUGGAGGAGACCUGGGGAAGGAACCGCAAGGGACACUCUGGUUCUGAGGUAGUGACCCCUGGGCACCUGGCCCCUGGCAGGCUCCUGAUGGCUGCCCUGUCGGCUGCAAACCACCCGUCCUCAUCUGACCUCAGCACCCACAGAGCCUCAUUCUCAGCAUUCAUCAAGCUGAGAGAGAAAAAGCCGUGGGUUGCUUCCCCUCUAGGUGAGGUUAUGGCUUUGAAGUCAGAAAAAUGUGGACUAAAACUCCAUUUUGAACCAGGCAAGGUGGCAUACACCUAUAAUCCCAACACUUGGGAGGCUGAGGCAAGAAGAUUACUGCAAGUUCAAGACCAGCCUGGGCUAAAUGGCAAGUACAAGGCCAGCCUGGACUGCAUAGCAAAACUUGUCUAAGGAAAAAAAAGAAAAGAAACUAUUCCUACCACUUAAUACCCAGCAGAUCUUGGGCAAAAUACAUGAUCUUUCUCAUGUGGUCUCACCCCAUCCAACCUCGUAGGGCUGCAGGGCGUAAUAAAGGGCUAAUGGAAUACCGGUGUCGCCAUGGCCCGUGGUGAUAAAUGAGGAAGAUGAUUCCUGUUAUACUGAGCUAACAGGAGAGGGGAACAGUAUUUAUUUGCAGUUAGUUGCGUAACAACAGGCGUUCAGAAGCCAACAGCCUCUAAGAAGAAAGGUGCUCCAUUCUCUUGGAGAAGUCCACAGUUGCUGUUCUUGUCAGGAGCCAAACAAACGAAAAACACAGACGCUCUCAACAAACCCUGCACAUAGGGUUAGGGAGCCCGCCUGUGCACCUCCGAGCCCUGAAACCUUCUGGGUCAUCAGCAGGGAGCAGGAGUCCAUAAAAGGUCAGCUCAGUCACUGUGCACAAAGGUCAGCUGGCUCAGCUGUCCCACCCUAGGCGUGGCCUCCUUGGGCCUCAGUUUCUCCCUGUAGGAGGGGGGUGCAGGUUGAGCCUGCCUCGUGGGAUCUCCUGGGCUACCAGGAUAAUAUGUCUGGCCGGGAGCCUCCUCUCUGGCAUUUAACCUCUGGGAGCUGCUUUUGUGAUUAGGAUCUUUAUGACCGGGGAGCACAGAGCCCAGCCCAUUGGACUUUCCUCCGGGAAUCCUGGGAAAAUCCGGGACCCCAGGAGCCGGCUUUUAUGAGGAACAAGUAGAAAAGCAGAACUGGCUGUGAGCAGUUGGAGUCCCAUAUGCCUGUGACACUGGGCCGUCGGCCGUAGCCACUGCAAACUGAGACACCCUGCAAGCACAGGGCACCAGGCUCCAAAGUUCAGUGCCCAAAACGAAACCUCUGUCAGUAACUGAGAUGGGUUUUAUGCCAGCAUGGUUCUGUGGUGCUAAAUCAGUGGUAUUAGAAUGAAUUUCACCUUUUCUCCUCUACUCUGUGCAUGGCCACCAGCAUUCACAAGUCACGGGCGGGGUCAGCCUCGGUAUCGGGCAGCCCUGGGUCUAGAAUUAGAAGAAGUUUGAGACAAUCAGACAUUGUGGUCACCAGGACAGGGCGGUGUCGCUCAAGAGAAAGGUCAUCAGGAAGAUGAGGGAGAAACGGGGGUGUUUCCCAGGUGUCUUGGUUGUUUUCCUCUUUGCUGGGACCAAACACCUGGCACUUGCGACUUAAAGGAGAGGUUUGUUCUGGCUCAGUGUACAGAGGCUUCAGUGCAUGGUCGCCGGCUGCAGCCAGGGUGGCAUGGCAGAGGGGCUGGCUGAGAGCUGCUCGCUGCAUGACGCAACAAGCAGCAGGAGGAAAGACGAAGAGUCCAGAAAGAGAUGCCACGGCCCCUGGUGAUGCCACUUCCUGCCAGGCCUCACCCCCUGACAGCAAGCCUGCUAGGGCUUCAGCAGUUUGGGCCAUGCGUCGUGGCCAAUGUGCCCUCCUGACCCCACUGGGCUCCUGCUGUGUGCAUUCUCAGGUCAUCAUGGCCACAAGCUUUCGAGGCAGGCCUCUGGUUUCCUGCCCCAUUUUAGAGAUGAGGGUACUGAAGCUUGGCUGCCCCCUAGCCUGGGUCCCGGGUCUGAGAAGGGUUGCGCGUUGUCAUGCAGGGCUGGCAUCAGGCAGAGCAUGCGUGGGCUCCCUGCCUACCCUGGCUAUUCUCAGCAAACCCCAGAUUCCACCCAUAGCAGAGGAGUGUGGCAAAUACUGAGUGCCCUGCAGAGUCGGAGGCCGCCCAUGCACGGGGGGUCAAGGGCAGAGAAAGGAGUUAGGGCCCCUAGGGUCACAGAUCCAGCGGCAGAGACCUGGUCUCCACGGGCAGAGCCAGCCAGAAGCACCUGGCGCCUCGUGGGUCAGGUUUGGCAUCAGCACCCAGUUCCUAGGGUUCGCGGCCAGGGCUGGAGGGUGCCAGGAUCAGCCUGGUGCAGGGCAGCAGCCACCUGGAUUCAAAGGCAGUUGUUUCCGUGGCACUGCUCGCCCCACAGGGCCCUCGGAGUUUCGCGCAUCCCGUGUCUCAACCACGGGGAGCCCCGUCUGGGUUGGCAGUGGCCCCUGCCGGGCCAGCCGCGUGCAACCUGCUCGAGGCCAGGCAUGGAGCUCAGCUGCUCUGGGCCCCUUCUAUGGUGCAGGUGCAGGAGGGGCACAGCCCCAGAAACGCUGGGGAAAUUAAACCCUACCACGGUACAGAAAGUGUGUGCACGCGUUGUCUGCACCACUGCCACUCUGGGUGAGGCCUCCACAGUGCCCCUCGUUCCCAGAGGGCUCAGAGGUUUCGCACUCAGGUUUCCUGUUCUGUUGGUCCCAAGCACUUGUCCUCAACUCCUAGCAGCAGCCCAGCCCUGAGCGGGGUCCUUCACCUGUGGACUCCUCAGGAUCCAGGUUCAGUCCCCUGGCCUGGGCAGUACCUGCAGCAUUUGGGUUGCUCAGCAGUGGGGGCCUGGUGAGACUUGGGUCGGAGCCGAGGUAGCCCUUUUGCAGACUUCGUGGUCCGGUACAGCUCACAGAAGCGCGCUACAGUUUGGUGAGAGUGCUAGCCGCUGGCCUCACUGCUAGCAGGCUGAACCGAGAAAGGAGCAGGCUCCCGUUGUGCCCCGGAACUGUCCCCCAGGCCUGGAGGGGAGCACGGGGUCCAAAGGCCACCCAGGUCCAUAUCAGCUAGAAACUGACCCUGUGCCCACCCCACCAGCUGGUUGAGGCUGUGCUUUGCUUUGCUGGUGGUGCUCCAGCUGGAGCCUUUGCACUCAGCUACCCACUGAGGUGCCCCAGGCUAACCUCGAAUUUGCAGUCUUCCUGCCUCAGCCUCCCAGCUGCUGGAAUUACAGGUGUGCACCACCAGACCCAGCUAAUCACUUCUUUAAAGACCCUGUAUCCAAAUCCAGUCAGCUCCAAGGUGGUGAGGAUUAGAACCUUGGCAUAUGAGAUGGGGGCAAGGUUAUGGACUUCAACCCGGGAUACCGUCCAAUGGUUUUUAACUCCACCCUGCCGCUGAGGAAAACAUACCAGGAAGAGCUAAGAACUGCUGCCAGCUCCACCCCUUCAAGAGCUGUAGAGUGCUUCAUGCAUGGUGUAGAGGACGGUACAGGUAUCAAGCACCCAGAAAAAAAGUAUUCUUUUUGUUUAGGACAUUCUUUUGCAUUGUGCUUGUUCGGUUGGUUGGUGGUUUUGUUGUUGUUGUUGUUGUUGUUGUUGUUGUUGUUGUUUAGUUUGUUUGUUUGAUUGUUUUGCAACAGGGUCUCGUGUAGCUCAGGCACCUUUGAACUCACUACAUAGCCUCAAAUUCACAGUUGCCUCAGCUUCCCAAAUACUGGAAUUACAGGGAUGUGCCACCACGCCUGGCCUCACAUGUGCGUGUGCGUGUGUGUGUGUGUGUGUGAUGCCAGGGAUCAAACCCAGAGCCUGAGCCUACUAAGCAAGUUCUCUCCCGCCAACCCCCCAGUGCAUUUAUUCCCGAGGCAGGAAGGUCAGACCUGAAGCCUAUGGUUUACAAGACCUGCCCAGGGCCUUGUGGCUGGGAAGUGGCAGGAAUGGGACUGAGGCCAGAUGCCCUGGCUUGGCCUUGAAUGUGUCCCUGAAGUUUGGUAUCCAGGGCAUGGAGCCAAGGCAGUAUCCCCAGGUCACAUGGGCAGCUGCCAGGCCAGGCACUAGCUGGAAUUAAAGAGGCCCUGCUGCUCAGGCCCAGCUCUGCAGGAUUUGGGGAUAUUUUCCGGAAGCCUCCCUACUAAAGCUGCUGGUCGGCUCAAAGCGCUGUCUCUCUCUCUCUCUCUCUCUCUCUCUCUCUCUCUCUCUCUCUCACUGCAGAGUUAGCUGCAUGUGGCUGGCCCCGUGCCUUGCAGUCCAGGUUUACCCUGCAGGCCCUGGUGUGGCCGCCCAGCCUUGAAACCUUUCUCUCCUUUCCCAGAGGGCACAGGAGCCCAGGUUGGUGUGGAGCUGGGUUCGCAUACCCAGGAGCAUCGCACUGCAUCCUGCUGUACCCAGCAAGCCAGGGAGCCCGGCCACCCUGUCCUGCUGCUCCACAAAUGGCCCAGGGCUAGAAUCAGACCCUGGAAGCCCAAAGCAGGAUCAGAGCAGAAAUGGAGGCCUGGGGCUUGCUCUAAUUUUUUUCCAGCCUCUUUUAUUACAGCCGCAGGGUGUUUGCUCAGGAGCCUUGGCAGCUGGCCAGUGAUGAGGCACUGGCUGGAUCCUGGGUCUCCCUGAUACCUUCCUUCCAGAGUGUUCAGGCCUGCACCCCCCACCUCCACUCUGAAGCCCGGAGACAAGGCUGGAAUGCAGGUUUCCCUUGUGGGACAUGCGGUGCCUAGCAGAUGCCACGAAGCUGAGCUUCCAGAUGAAUGCUAGCUUCAAACCAGCGCCUAGGUUUGCCCAGCUCCACUGCUGUGCAAAGCUGUCCCCCGAUGUAACUCGGUACCCACAAAAGGCUUGGAUGGCAGCCGCACAGCAGCUCCUGGUCUUGGGGCUCAGAGCCACCACAGGCUGACCUUGCCCUGUGGGGACCAGAUGGGCAGGUAGAACCCUCUCACCUGGAAGAGGAGGCAACCAGCAAGCCUGGUGCAGUUGGGCCUGCCAAAGUCAGCCCCGCCCAGGACCUCUGCCUGCCCCUGCUGCACUGGUGGAGUUGGUCAGAGUCGCCCCUUUCCCUGGAGCUGGUGGGAAGGGCGGCUUCCAGAGAGGAAAGACUUCUCAGCCAGUUCCAGGAGCACGAGCUGGGUCACUUCGAGGCCAGCUCUUCCAACCUCGGUUGCUUCCUCUAUAAAACCAGGACAGGGCAGUCACAGCCCAUUUGAGGUUACAGAGAGCCUUCCCAGAGUCACACGGAAGCAGCCUGUGCCCACUCAGGUUCCACACAAGUGCCAGGAAGCUGCACUUCUGCAAGCUCUGGACAGCCCAGGAUGGAGACCCAGAUCACACCCUCCAGAGGCUCGGAGAGCUGUGGGGCUUUCUUGCUGGGCUGCAGCCAGCUGCUACAUGGUACGGCACAGCUGCACGUGGUGGGGGGGGCACCUCCAACUCUCCACACUGCAGCAGGACCCCUGCCUGGACUCGGGGUAGCCAGUAAAGAACGGCUCAGAGCACCUUGAAGAGGCUCAACUGGAAAUGACAACUCUGAUCCGAUUUCUGCAUAGGAACAAAGUUUAAAUCAGAGAUUCUCCUCUUUUCCCCUGGCCCCUCCUGUUAGCUUCCCCAAGCUAUGGUUGGACACUCAGUAGACAGCAGUUUGCGUUUAGGAGGUGAGUAAAGCAGCAAAAUCUCCGUGUCCAAGACCUGACCUCGUUUUCUAGACUUGGCGACCCGGUCCUGCUGAGGGAAGGGGGUGUCAGGGAAUGAGGCAGACUGGAGUGGGAACCCAGGAGGAAGGAGUCCUCUUGCAUGUUUGACUUCUCGGUAGGAUCUGUGACCGCUUCCUGUUUAUUCCCAGCAACACACUGUACCCAGGACCAGGCCCACUCAGUGAAAAGUAGGGUGAACCGUCUGGACUUGAGGAGCAAACUCGAGGCCCCAGAUAUUCAAGCAUCACUUGAGAAUCCCAGGCCAGCCAGGCAGCAUCCCAGAUCACCCCAUGUUUAGGAGGUGUUGUGUGGAUUUUAGGGGCCUUUCCAGAGUGAACAGGGAGUGGUGCUGAGUGACCAGAACAAGGUCCCCCUCACCGUCCCAUAACUCAGCCAUCAGAACUGGAAGCUGCAGUGCGGUGGGCUUGCAGGUCUCGCUGUUGUAGUUUGUUUGCACCCACUGAGCUGCGCAUGUGCAGUCUCAGCUCCUGCUUGCUUGUAGCCAGGUCAGGAAGGAGGAACGCCCGCCUCGUGUGCAAGAAGUCGGUGUUCCCACACUGGGCAAGGAGCUCCCUGGGCCCGCUAUAAACUCGGGGGCUGCAAGCUGACAGCCUCACAGCUGACAGCAGAGCACUGUGUCCCCAUUGGUCGUGCAGUUGCAGGACACCUGCCCGGAUCUCAGAAUCAUUGCACCCGAGGUGUCAGGAAGCAGAGGACCUUUAUGGUUCAUCGUAUAGGCCUCAGGGAGACGUGGGUGGCAAAACCCAGACCUCCCAGGGAGAAAGCGGCCCGAGUCUGGACAGGGUCUGAGAACCUGCGCUUUGGUCACUGUCGGUCUGGCCAGGCGCCGGGUCCAUCCUGUCCCCAGCCCGCCGUGCAUGAGCCCCUUAUACCGUUGCUCCCAGGCUGUCCUUACUCCCCAGUGUUCCAACCAGCACUGACACAGGAGCCCAGAACCCACCACACCCCUGGGAGGGGACCCUGAGCCUCUCCUUGGGCUGGAUGGCAUGCCUGAGGCGUCCCAGGCUGUGUUGACACCAGGUCACCUAGGCCAGGACCGAGCCGGGGCCACCCUGCCCUGCACAGCCUCCUCCCAGCUUCCUGCUCCGCAGGGCUUCCGGUUGCCAAGGGCGGUGCCCCAACUUCAUGCUUGGGGUUGCUGGCCAUGGGGUGGCGAAGGGCUGGCCUCGAAAUCGCAUCCAUCCAUCCAUCCUCCUGCCUCAGCUCUCAGGUGCUGGGAUGACAGAUUUUAGGGAGGGACCGGUAAAGAUGUCCAGCAAAACCGCCAGCACCAACAACAUAGCCCAGGCCCGGAGGACCGUGCAGCAGCUGCGGCUCGAAGCCUCCAUUGAGAGAAUAAAGGUGUCUAAGGCGUCUGCG
RNA transcript from Cavia porcellus (domestic guinea pig), 19122 nucleotides. It is a transcript of the gene named G protein subunit gamma 12, with no coding region annotated. Lineage: Eukaryota; Metazoa; Chordata; Mammalia; Rodentia; Caviidae. The record is from RefSeq and is a predicted model, not a curated record. The transcript has 3 exons.